This 391-nucleotide ribosomal RNA is filed under the name uncultured Thauera sp. Its description in RNAcentral is "bacterial SSU rRNA". It matches the Rfam family "Bacterial small subunit ribosomal RNA", at positions 990 to 1382 of the family's 1533-position model. The record is from RNAcentral. Lineage: Bacteria; Pseudomonadati; Pseudomonadota; Betaproteobacteria; Rhodocyclales; Zoogloeaceae.
CUGGAACCUUGCUGAGAGGCGAGGGUGCCUUCGGGAGCCAGAACACAGGUGCUGCAUGGCUGUCGUCAGCUCGUGUCGUGAGAUGUUGGGUUAAGUCCCGCAACGAGCGCAACCCUUGUCAUUAGUUGCCAUCAUUUAGUUGGGCACUCUAAUGAGACUGCCGGUGACAAACCGGAGGAAGGUGGGGAUGACGUCAAGUCCUCAUGGCCCUUAUGGGUAGGGCUUCACACGUCAUACAAUGGUCGGUACAGAGGGUUGCCAAGCCGCGAGGUGGAGCCAAUCCCUUAAAGCCGAUCGUAGUCCGGAUCGUAGUCUGCAACUCGACUACGUGAAGUCGGAAUCGCUAGUAAUCGCAGAUCAGCACGCCGCGGUGAAUACGUUCCCGGGCCUU